RNAcentral lists this microRNA precursor (60 nucleotides) under Blattella germanica (German cockroach). RNAcentral describes it as "Bge-Mir-9-P11_pre stem-loop". The record is from RNAcentral. Lineage: Eukaryota; Metazoa; Arthropoda; Insecta; Blattodea; Blattellidae.
UCUUUGGUAUCCUAGCUGUAGGUUGUAUUAGCUGCUCCUAAAGCUAUUGUACCAAAGUAA